RNAcentral lists this microRNA precursor (76 nucleotides) under Loa loa (African eye worm). RNAcentral describes it as "mir-10 microRNA precursor family". It matches the Rfam family "mir-10 microRNA precursor family". Rfam says of the family: In this case the mature sequence comes from the 5' arm of the precursor. The extents of the hairpin precursors are not generally known and are estimated based on hairpin prediction. The products are thought to have regulatory roles through complementarity to mRNA. The record is from RNAcentral. Lineage: Eukaryota; Metazoa; Nematoda; Chromadorea; Rhabditida; Onchocercidae.
CGCGGUCAACCCGUAGAUCCGAACUUGUGUUGAGAUUUUCUUCCGAACAUGAGCUCGGCACUCGGGUAGACUGCGU